This 440-nucleotide ribosomal RNA is filed under the name uncultured bacterium. RNAcentral's name for it is "partial 16S ribosomal RNA". It matches the Rfam family "Bacterial small subunit ribosomal RNA", at positions 338 to 795 of the family's 1533-position model. The record is from RNAcentral.
CCUACGGGUGGCAGCAGUGGGGAAUAUUGCACAAUGGGGGAAACCCUGAUGCAGCGACGCCGCGUGAGUGAAGAAGUAUCUCGGUAUGUAAAGCUCUAUCAGCAGGGAAGAAAAUGACGGUACCUGACUAAUAAGCACCGGCUAACUACGUGCCAGCAGCCGCGGUAAUACGUAGGGGGCAAGCGCUAUCCGGAUUUACUGGGUGUAAAGGGAGUGUAGACGGCGCUGCAAGUCCGGAGUGAAAGCCCAUGGCUUAAACAUGGUACUGCUGUGGAAACUGUGGAGCUUGAGAGCGGGAGGGGCAGGCGGAAUUCGUAGUGUAGCGGUGAAAUGCGUAGAUAUUGGGAGGAACACCGGCGGCGAAGGCGGCAUGCUGGCCCGUAACUGACGCUGAGGCUCGAAAGCGUGGGGAGCAAACAGGAUUAGAUACCCUAGUAGUC